This 1179-nucleotide ribosomal RNA is filed under the name metagenome. Its description in RNAcentral is "bacterial SSU rRNA". It matches the Rfam family "Bacterial small subunit ribosomal RNA", at positions 316 to 1509 of the family's 1533-position model. The record is from RNAcentral.
GGACUGAGACACGGCCCAGACUCCUACGGGAGGCAGCAGUGGGGAAUAUUGCGCAAUGGGGGCAACCCUGACGCAGCAACGCCGCGUGCAGGAAGAAGGUCUUCGGAUUGUAAACUGUUGUCGCAAGGGAAGAAGACAGUGACGGUACCUUGUGAGAAAGUCACGGCUAACUACGUGCCAGCAGCCGCGGUAAUACGUAGGUGACAAGCGUUGUCCGGAUUUACUGGGUGUAAAGGGCGCGUAGGCGGACUGUCAAGUCAGUCGUGAAAUACCGGGGCUUAACCCCGGGGCUGCGAUUGAAACUGACAGCCUUGAGUAUCGGAGAGGAAAGCGGAAUUCCUAGUGUAGCGGUGAAAUGCGUAGAUAUUAGGAGGAACACCAGUGGCGAAGGCGGCUUUCUGGACGACAACUGACGCUGAGGCGCGAAAGUGUGGGGAGCAAACAGGAUUAGAUACCCUGGUAGUCCACACCGUAAACGAUGGAUACUAGGUGUAGGAGGUAUCGACCCCUUCUGUGCCGCAGUUAACACAAUAAGUAUCCCACCUGGGGAGUACGACCGCAAGGUUGAAACUCAAAGGGAUUGACGGGGGCCCGCACAAGCAGUGGAGUAUGUGGUUUAAUUCGAAGCAACGCGAAGAACCUUACCUGGGCUUGACAUCCCUGGAAUCGAGUAGAGAUACUUGAGUGCCUUCGGGAAUCAGGUGACAGGUGGUGCAUGGUUGUCGUCAGCUCGUGUCGUGAGAUGUUGGGUUAAGUCCCGCAACGAGCGCAACCCCUAUUGUCAGUUGCCAUCAUUAAGUUGGGCACUCUGGCGAGACUGCCGGUGACAAAUCGGAGGAAGGUGGGGACGACGUCAAAUCAUCAUGCCCCUUAUGCCCAGGGCUACACACGUACUACAAUGGCCGAUAACAAAGUGCAGCGAAACCGUGAGGUGGAGCGAAUCACAAAACUCGGUCUCAGUUCAGAUUGCAGGCUGCAACUCGCCUGCAUGAAGUUGGAAUUGCUAGUAAUCGCGGAUCAGAAUGCCGCGGUGAAUACGUUCCCGGGCCUUGUACACACCGCCCGUCACACCAUGAGAGUCGAUAACACCCGAAGCCUGUGAGCUAACCUAUUAGGAGGCAGCAGUCGAAGGUGGGGUUGAUGAUUGGGGUGAAGUCGUAACAAGGUAGCCGUACUAGU